This 422-nucleotide ribosomal RNA is filed under the name uncultured bacterium. RNAcentral's name for it is "bacterial SSU rRNA". It matches the Rfam family "Bacterial small subunit ribosomal RNA", at positions 358 to 772 of the family's 1533-position model. The record is from RNAcentral.
GGAAUUUUGGACAAUGGGGGCAACCCUGAUCCAGCCAUGCCGCGUGCGGGAAGAAGGCCUUUGGGUUGUAAACCGCUUUUGUCGGGGAAGAAAUCCCUUGAGUUAAUACCCCGGGGGGAUGACGGUACCCGAAGAAUAAGCACCGGCUAACUACGUUCCAGCAGCCGCGGUAAAACGUAGGGUGCAAGCGUUAAUCGGAAUUACUGGGCGUAAGGCGUGCGCAGGCGGUCGUGCAAGACAGAUGUGAAAUCCCCGGGCUCAACCUGGGAACUGCAUUUGUGACUGCACGGCUGGAGUGCGGCAGAGGGGGAUGGAAUUCCGCGUGUAGCAGUGAAAUGCGUAGAUAUGCGGAGGAACACCGAUGGCGAAGGCAAUCCCCUGGGCCUGCACUGACGCUCAUGCACGAAAGCGUGGGGAGCAAA